This is a ribosomal RNA of 205 nucleotides. The stretch from base 46 to 205 matches the Rfam family "Bacterial large subunit ribosomal RNA", at positions 1446 to 1605 of the family's 2925-position model.
GCUGAGUCUUCGGACGAGGUCGGAGUGGUGGAGCCGGUGACCCGAGCUGGUAGUAGGUGAGUGAUGGGGUGACGCAGGAAGGUAGUCCAUCCCGGGCGGUGGUUGUCCCGGGGUAAGGGUGUAGGACGUCAGGUAGGCAAAUCCGCCUGCCUAUGUGUCUAGACCUGAUGCCGAGCCGAUUGUGGUGAAGUGGAUGAUCCUAUGC